GACCUCGGAUCAGGUAGGGAUACCCGCUGAACUUAAGCAUAUCAAUAAGCGGAGGAAAAGAAACCAACUGGGAUUGCCUCAGUAACGGCGAGUGAAGCGGCAUCAGCUCAGAUUUGAAAUCUGGUUCUUUCAGAGCCCGAGUUGUAAUCUGUAGAGGAGUCUUCGGGUUUGGAUCUGGCCUAAGUUUCUUGGAACAGAACGUCAUAGAGGGUGAGAGUCCCGUAUGAGGCCAGCUGCCUAUUCCCAUGUGAAGCUUCUUCGACGAGUCGAGUUGUUUGGGAAUGCAGCUCAAAAUGGGUGGUAAAUUUCAUCUAAAGCUAAAUAUUGGCGGGAGACCGAUAGCGCACAAGUAGAGUGAUCGAAAGAUGAAAAGCACUUUGAAAAGAGAGUUAAAAAGUACGUGAAAUUGUUGAAAGGGAAACGCUUGCGAUUAG
RNAcentral lists this ribosomal RNA (434 nucleotides) under uncultured fungus. RNAcentral's name for it is "eukaryotic LSU rRNA". It matches the Rfam family "Eukaryotic large subunit ribosomal RNA", at positions 1 to 432 of the family's 3401-position model. Lineage: Eukaryota; Fungi. The record is from RNAcentral.